CGAGGAAUAUUGCACAAUGGGCGAAAGCCUGAUGCAGCAACGCCGCGUGAGGGACGAAGGCCUUCGGGUCGUAAACCUCUUUUCUGGGGGACGAGUAAGGACGGUACUCCAGGAAUAAGUCUCGGCUAACUACGUGCCAGCAGCCGCGGCAAAACGUAGGAGGCGAGCGUUAUCCGGAUUUACUGGGCGUAAAGCGUACGCAGGUGGCUUCGUUAGUCGGACAUGAAAGCUCCUGGCUUAACUGGGAGAGGUUGUUCGAUACUGCGGGGCUUGAGGUUGGGAGAGGGACGUGGAAUUCCCGGUGUAGUGGUGGAAUGCAUAGAUAUCGGGAGGAACACCAGUGGCGCAAGCGGCGUCCUGGCCCACACCUGACGCUGAGGUACGAAAGCGUGGGUAGCAAACAG
Molecule: ribosomal RNA, 404 nt
Filed under: uncultured bacterium
Lineage: Bacteria
Description: bacterial SSU rRNA
Rfam family: Bacterial small subunit ribosomal RNA
Source: RNAcentral